UGCAUGAAAAUUUAUUUUGAGUAGGCCGAGAGUUCUAUUUGCUUUGUUGGACACUUGACUAAUAUGUGUCACCCAACUUAAAUCUUUGCUUAAUUCGAUUCCUAGAUAUGGGUGAUGGUCGACAGCAAGCAAUGUAUGGCUGCCCAUGUUGUAUUCCGAUAAAAGUGGUUUAAUCUUGUGUGAGACAUGCAUGGUAUGACAUUUGGUUUUGAACGAAAUCU
This is a long non-coding RNA of Amblyraja radiata (thorny skate), 221 nucleotides long. RefSeq lists it as uncharacterized. The record is from RefSeq and is a predicted model, not a curated record. NCBI's taxonomy places the organism in Eukaryota, Metazoa, Chordata, Chondrichthyes, Rajiformes, Rajidae. The transcript has 3 exons.